ACUGCCUUGUGCAACUUCGGAGGAAAAUGAACAGGCAGACGGAUUUUAGAGAAUUUUAAGUCUUGAAGGGACCUUUGGAGAAAUCGGCAAAAAUUCUCUGCCAAACAUGGAUUGCACCAAAAUUAUGUGGCAGGGAAGGAGGUGACGCCUAAUGCUGCGGGCAGCCAAAACAGUAUUUUCCCCUGGGAUGUGGUCUGGUUAAAGCCACGAAGGCCUGGGCUGGUGAAGCAAUCAGAAGAAAGCAUCCAUCUGAAAGCUGGUAGAGGUUUCCUUCUUCAAGCAGCAUUGAUACAUGUGACAAUUGGCGUUGGAUUCCUACCAUGGGUAGAAUCAAGACUUCUUGAGAAAACAUGUUGCGUAGGAGAUAUGUGGGGAGAAGGAGCUGUUGAGUGAAAAUCUUGUUUGGAAAUGCUGAACAGUGCUAAACAUUUAGAGGAUAUCUUCAAUGUCUUGUGAAAGAAGUUAAGGAAACUCUAUAUAGUUUACUGUUCCUAGUAUGCACAUGUGAACUCUCAGACAAAUUUGGUGGAGGCAGAAGGAAGUUCUGUGUUCUGCUCAUUUGCUAGUUGAACAUAAAUUAUGUAUUACUAAAACCUUGCGGCAGGUAGUUUUUUGAAGAGCAUUAUACGUACUAGAAACUUUGAAGAAACAGUGCAAAUCUGAGUUUUUAAUUGUUUUGGUAGUUUCAUGUGCACAAAUUGUAGUUAAGCAUCUGAUUUCCCCUUAAUUUCAAUUACGUGUGCAUUUCUACUUGUUUCUUGAUGAACACAUUCCACAGGUGUUGAAAUCAGCAAAUAAAGUAUUUUGAACAUAUUUAUUUUAAGUUUCUUGCAUAUUAUCUUGCCAUUUUUGGGUUUUUGUCUUUUAUCAGAUCAGAUAACUUUCUUUGAGGAAAGCAGGCAAAAAAAGAACAGGAAGCUGGUUACAGCUUUUGAAAACAGAACCCAGUCUGUAAUCUUGCCAGCUCUAGGUAGAAUCCAGUAUGUAUCAUCCUUCUAACGACACAGGAUACAUGUGUUCAGGAUAUAUUUCAGAUUAUUAAUAAAAAAGAAAGUGAAGCAGCAAUCUUUGUGUAGAGAUUCUCUGAAAGUACUGCAGUGCAGACAUCUACAUGCUUUUCCAUUUCACUAAUCCAUCAAUACAUUUGACAGGUUUAAGCAUGUGUAUGUUACAUAAAGGAGAAGGAAGCCAGAUUUUAAUACAUAAAAGAGGUGAUAGCCUCAUCAAUUAGGCAAGUUUUUCAGUAUAGCAUUUCUCUAAAGUGAUUAACUUUGUAAAGAAGUUUUGUGAAGAUAUUCUGAAUUUGAAUGGGAACUAAAAUGGCCUAAUUUACUGAGUGGUCUUCAGUAAAAUUCUUCAAGUGGAAAGACAACUGAUGAAAUUAUUUGUAGAUAGUUGAUCCAUUUUAAUGUUAUAUUUCAUAUGAAAACUUUGUAUAAGGACAAGUAAUUUGAAAGCAUAUAUACACAUAGGUAAUGUUAAUGUGUUUUUCUAGCAUCUUUUCAGUUGAAAUAUAAAGUUGUUGCUGACCAGAUAAUUUCUUUAGUGUAAUUUCAUUUCAUCUGCUGUGGUUUGCUUAAUUUCCUUUAGAUCUAAGAACUUCUUUUGUUUCUGUGCUGUCUUGUUAAUCAGCAUUGUGAAAUCAUUUAGGUUGGAAUGGAAUCCUUGAGAGCAUCUGUUGCACCCCACCCUAGAACAGAUUGC
Geospiza fortis (medium ground-finch) is the source of this 1704-nucleotide long non-coding RNA. The record is from Ensembl. NCBI's taxonomy places the organism in Eukaryota, Metazoa, Chordata, Aves, Passeriformes, Thraupidae.